This 253-nucleotide ribosomal RNA is filed under the name uncultured bacterium. RNAcentral describes it as "partial 16S ribosomal RNA". It matches the Rfam family "Bacterial small subunit ribosomal RNA", at positions 524 to 776 of the family's 1533-position model. The record is from RNAcentral.
UACGAAGGGGGCUAGCGUUGCUCGGAAUCACUGGGCGUAAAGGGUGCGUAGGCAGGUCUUUAAGUCAGGGGUGAAAUCCUGGAGCUCAACUCCAGAACUGCCUUUGAUACUGAAGAUCUUGAGUUCGGGAGAGGUGAGUGGAACUGCGAGUGUAGAGGUGAAAUUCGUAGAUAUUCGCAAGAACACCAGUGGCGAAGGCGGCUCACUGGCCCGAUACUGACGCUGAUGCACGAAAGCGUGGGGAGCAAACAGG